This 85-nucleotide transfer RNA is filed under the name Gemmatimonadaceae bacterium. RNAcentral's name for it is "tRNA-Leu". It matches the Rfam family "tRNA". Rfam says of the family: Transfer RNA (tRNA) molecules are approximately 80 nucleotides in length. Their secondary structure includes four short double-helical elements and three loops (D, anti-codon, and T loops). Lineage: Bacteria; Pseudomonadati; Gemmatimonadota; Gemmatimonadia; Gemmatimonadales; Gemmatimonadaceae. The record is from RNAcentral.
GCCCGGGUGGUGGAAUUGGUAGACGCAGAGGACUCAAAAUCCUCCGCUCCAAAAGAGCUUGCGGGUUCGAGUCCCGCCCCGGGCA